ACCUGGGAAUUGCGCUUGGGACUGAGAGGCUUGAGUACGGGAGAGGAGAGUGGAAUUCCCAGUGUAGAGGUGAAAUUCGUAGAUAUCGGGAGGAACACCUGUGGCGAAAGCGGCUCACUGGACCACAACUGACGCUGAUGCACGAAAGCUAGGGGAGCAAACAGGAUUAGAUACCCUGGUAGUCCUAGCCCUAAACGAUGAUUGCUUGGUGUGUUGGGUACCCAAUCCCAACGUGCCGAAGCUAACGCGAUAAGCAAUCCGCCUGGGGAGUACGGUCGCAAGACUGAAACUCAAAGGAAUUGACGGGGGCCCGCACAGGCGGUGGAGCAUGUGGUUCAAUUCGACGCAACGCGAAGAACCUUACCUGGGCUCGAAAUGUAGUGGACCGGGGUAGAAAUAUCCCUUUUCGCAA
RNAcentral lists this ribosomal RNA (412 nucleotides) under uncultured bacterium. RNAcentral describes it as "bacterial SSU rRNA". It matches the Rfam family "Bacterial small subunit ribosomal RNA", at positions 612 to 1021 of the family's 1533-position model. The record is from RNAcentral.